AGACUGUACAAAGUAUAUCAAGAUAUGCCAAAUAUUGAGCUUAACUUCACCUGUUUGAGAGACGCUUGCAACACCAUGAAAAAAUUACUGAGACACUAGGAAUGCUGUGAACUGAGAAAGUUUGGGACCUUUGGCAUAACUAAAUCCUUCAUUUAACAGUGUUGUGAACCACUUGUCAUGGGAUAACCAAAAUUAAACCUGGAAUCGCAGAAGAAACAAAUUUUUUGAAGAAAUUGGAUGUACUUUUUUAAAAUUUUUCAUUCAACUAAAACUUUGUUAACUGUUUCUUGGUUGUGGUCUUCUCUAAAUUGUAAUCUUUGGCAUUCACUUCCAAAGUAUCCACCACUAAACUUCAUAACAUUUAUUGUGUCUCUUCAUCAUUAAACUUUGAUGAAUUUACAGAGUGUCUUUUGAAAUUAUGUUCUUGAGAAAGGUAAGUUCCCUAAAAAUCCCACCACCUCAGGAACAGAAUUUUCUAAAACUGUUGUAUCUACCUAAGUUACCUAUUUUUGUCUUUUGUCUGGAGUCCACUUGUCCUCAAAACAAAAUUAAUGUUGUAUUCCCUUUUGGUCAAGGACACAUUAAACAUUUCGUGCAGCAUGCACAUUUUUCAGGGAUGUAGAAUCAUAAACAAUUAUUUUUAUACACUUCUUAUGACAUAGGGUGACUUUUACAAUGUGCUGUGCUAUUUAAAGUUAAAUGUUCACCACUACAUAUUGUACCUGUGAAAAGAUUAUAGGUUAGCUUUGAUAAUUUAAAAUAUUUUUGCUACAGCCAGUAGCUCUAUUAACGAUGAUAUGAAACUCUGACGUUGUUGUGAUUACAUUGUAUUUUUUCAUAUCUGUUAUGUGAUAUAGCAACCAACAUAUUAGUUAUAAUAAUAAUUAGGUAAUGAGUUCACACAGUUAUUGGAUGGAGUGCUGUGUCCAUCCCUAGGUGUUUGUUAUUGUAGUGAUACUUAUAAGAAGUACAGCUUGGUGUACCUACAUUAGCGCAAAUUUCACUAGUCAGGAAAAUGUGGAUAAAGUGGUCCCUUUGAUUCAUUAGCCCUAUACGAAGUAUUUUGAAAAAAAUAUUUUAACAGAUUUGUAUCCUCUUUCCAUAUCUCAUAUAAACUGUAAUUAUUUUUAAUUCCCCCAAAUGAAUGAAAGCCAUCUUUACCAUUCGAUUCUUUAAAAAAAAAAUAAGAAUUAGUAUUUAUCGAUUACAGGUCCUGUGCACUUUACAUACUUUCUUUAAUUUAGUCUUACAACAAUGCUAUGUAAAAAGUACUUUUUGAAAAAAUGAAAUAAAAUUUAUGUACCAUAACAUUUAUCACUUUAGUGUUCAGUUCAGUGGUUUUUAGUAUAUUCACAAGAUUACGAAGCUAUCGGUACUAAUUCCAGAACAUUUUCAUCAUCCCAAAAAGCAGCUCCAUACUCACUAGCAGUCACUACCCAUUCCUCCUUCUGCCAGCUAUUAGAAAACGCUGAUCUAUUUUCUGCUUCUGUGGAUUGGCAUAUUGUGGAAAUUUCAUAUAAAUAGGCUCAUAAAAGGCUGGAUGGGGUGGCUCAUGCCUGUAAUCCCAGCACUUUGGGAGGCCACGGUGAGCAGAUCACUUGAGGUCAGAAAUUCAAGACCAGGCUGGCCAGUAUGGUGAAACCCUGUCUCUACUGAAAACACAAAAAUUGGCCAGGCAUGGUGGCGGGCGCCUGUAAUCCCAGCUACUCAGGAAGCUGAAGCAGGAGAAUCGCUUGAACCUGGGAGGCAGAGGUUGCAGUGAGCCAAGAUCGCACCACUGCACUCCAGCCUGAGUGACAGAGGGAGACUCCAUCUCAGAAAAAAGGCCGGGGUGGGGGUGGCUUAUACAAUAUAUGGUCUUUUUUUAUUAGCUUCAUUCACUUACCAUAAUGUUUUCAAGGUUCGUCUAUGUUGUAGCAUGUAUUAAUACUUCAUUUUUUAUGCCUGAAUAUUAUUUCAUUGUGUAGAUAUACCGCAUUUGUCUAUUCCCUUCAUCAGUUGAUGGGCAAUUGGGUUGUUUCUAUUUUUGGCUAUUUUGAGUAAUGCUGCUAUGUAUAUUUAUAUACAAGUUUUGGUGAGAACAUGUAUUUUCAUUUCUCUUAAGUAUAUAUCUAGGAAUAAAAUUACUGUGUUAUAUGAUAACUAUAUGUUUAACUUUUUGAGGAACUGCCAAACUGUUUUCCAAGUGGCUAUACCUUUUUACAUUCCCAUCAGCAACAUAUGAAAGUCCAAAUUUUUCUACAUCUUUCCCAGCAUUUGUUAUUGUUGUCCUUUUUAUUGUAGUAGGGAUAAAGUGAUAUUUCAUUGUGGUUUUGAUUUCCAUAAUAUGAGCAUGUUUUCCUGUGUUUAUUGGCCAUUUUUUAUUGUCUUUGGAGGUAUGUUUAUUCAAACUCUUGGCUCAUUUUUAAAUUCGGUUAUUUUAUUAUUGAGUUGUAGGAGUUACUUAUACGUUCUGGAUACUAGACUCUUAGAUAUGUGAUUUGCAAAUAUUUUCUCCCAUUCUGUGGGUUUUCUUUAUACUCGACAGUGUAAUUCUUUAUAUCUCGACAGUGUUCUUUGAUGCACAAAAGUUUUUAAUUUUGAUAAAGUCCAAUUUAUGUAAUUUCUAUAAUUGCUUAUGCUUAUCACUGCUUGUACUUUUAUCAUUGUCCAAUUUGUCUAAUUUUUUAAAAUCAUUGCUUAUUUCAUCAAUUUUAUGUCGUAUUUAAGAAACCAUUGUCAAAACUGAAAUCAUAAA
Long non-coding RNA from Homo sapiens (human), 2737 nucleotides. The record is from Ensembl. Lineage: Eukaryota; Metazoa; Chordata; Mammalia; Primates; Hominidae.